Molecule: long non-coding RNA, 788 nt
Filed under: Pan troglodytes (chimpanzee)
Lineage: Eukaryota; Metazoa; Chordata; Mammalia; Primates; Hominidae
Description: long non-coding RNA NONPTRT007581
Source: RNAcentral
GGAAAACGGUGCUGGUUCACUGGGGCGCGUUUCCGGGAAGGUGAAUACCGGUGAAAGUUAUGCUGAGGGUGAGUAAACUCAAAAACUGACACUUGAUUCAGCUAUUGGAAAGUUUUUUUAAUGUGGUUGGAACAACUGAGGUAUGUGAAUCUACUUUUUCAACUGUACAUUUUAUGAAAUCUAAAUACUGAUCAAGUCCCAGGCAUGGGUGGCUCAUGCCUAUUAUCCCAGCACUUUGGGAGGCUGAGGCAGGAGGAUUGCUUGAGGUGAGGAGUCUGAGACCAGCCUGGUCAGCACAGUGAGACCCUAUCUGUACAAAAAAUUAAAAAAUUAGCCAGAUGUGGCCUGGCGCGGUGGCUCAUGCCUGUAAUCCCAGCACUUUGGGAGGCCGAGGCAGGUGGAUCACGAGGUCAAGAGAUCAAGACCAUCCUGGCUAACACAGUGAAACCCCGUCUCUACUAAGAAUACAGAGAAUUAGCUGGGCAUAGUGGCAGACACCUGUGGUCCCAGCUACCUGGGAGGCUGAGGCAGGAGAAUGCAUGAACCCAAGAGGCCGAGCUUGCAGUGAGUUGAAAUCGCGCCACUGCACUCCAGCCUGGGCGACAGAGCGAGAUUCUGUUUCAAAAAAAAAAAAAAAUUAGCCAGAUGUGGUGACACACACCUGUGGUCCCAGCUACUCCAGAGGCUGAGGUGGGAGGAUAAGUUGGGCCAGGGAAGCUGAGGUUGCAGCGAGCUGUGAUCCUGCCACUGCAUUCCAGCCUGGCAACAGAGCAAGACCAUGUCUCUAU